Molecule: ribosomal RNA, 1482 nt
Filed under: uncultured marine bacterium
Lineage: Bacteria
Description: bacterial SSU rRNA
Rfam family: Bacterial small subunit ribosomal RNA
Source: RNAcentral
GAGUUUGAUCAUGGCUCAGGAUGAACGCUAGCGGCAGGCCUAACACAUGCAAGUCGAGGGGUAACAGAAAAGCUUGCUUUUGCUGACGACCGGCGCACGGGUGCGUAACGCGUAUGCAACCUACCUCAUACUGGAGGAUAGCCCCUGGAAACGGGGAUUAAUACUCCAUAGUAUCACAAUUUCGCAUGUUAUUGUGAUUAAAGUUUUUCGGUAUGAGAUGGGCAUGCGUCCCAUUAGCUUGUUGGUGAGGUAACGGCUCACCAAGGCAACGAUGGGUAGGGGGCCUGAGAGGGUGGUCCCCCACACUGGUACUGAGACACGGACCAGACUCCUACGGGAGGCAGCAGUGAGGAAUAUUGGUCAAUGGAGGAAACUCUGAACCAGCCAUGCCGCGUGAAGGAUGACGGCCCUAUGGGUUGUAAACUUCUUUUAUAGAGGAAGAAACUUGUCUACGUGUAGACAACUGACGGUACUCUACGAAUAAGGAUCGGCUAACUCCGUGCCAGCAGCCGCGGUAAUACGGAGGAUCCAAGCGUUAUCCGGAUUCAUUGGGUUUAAAGGGUCCGUAGGCGGAUUUUUAAGUCAGUGGUGAAAGCCGACAGCUCAACUGUCGAACUGCCAUUGAUACUGGAAAUCUUGAGUACAAAUGAAGUAGGCGGAAUGAGUCAUGUAGCGGUGAAAUGCAUAAAUAUGACUCAGAACACCGAUUGCGAAGGCAGCUUACUAACAUGUAACUGACGCUGAGGGACGAAAGCGUGGGGAGCGAACAGGAUUAGAUACCCUGGUAGUCCACGCCGUAAACGAUCAUCACUCGCUGUUGGCGAUAUACUGUCAGCGGCCAAGCGAAAGUAUUAAGUGAUGCACCUGGGGAGUACGCCGGCAACGGUGAAACUCAAAGGAAUUGACGGGGGCCCGCACAAGCGGUGGAGCAUGUGGUUUAAUUCGAUGAUACGCGAGGAACCUUACCAGGGCUUAAAUGUAGUAUGACCGGCUUGGAAACAGGCCUUCUCUUCGGAGCAGAUUACAAGGUGCUGCAUGGUUGUCGUCAGCUCGUGCCGUGAGGUGUUAGGUUAAGUCCUGCAACGAGCGCAACCCCUAUUCUUAGUUGCCAGCGGUUCGGCCGGGGACUCUAAGAAGACUGCCAGCGCAAGCUGAGAGGAAGGUGGGGAUGACGUCAAAUCAUCACGGCCCUUACGUCCUGGGCUACACACGUGCUACAAUGGUAGAAACAGAGGGCAGCCACCUGGUGACAGGGAGCGAAUCCUUAAACUCUAUCUCAGUUCGGAUCGAAGUCUGCAACUCGACUUCGUGAAGCUGGAAUCGCUAGUAAUCGCGCAUCAGCCAUGGCGCGGUGAAUACGUUCCCGGGCCUUGUACACACCGCCCGUCAAGCCAUGGAAGCUGGGGGCACCUGAAGUCGGUAACCGUAAGGAGCCGCCUAGGGUGAAACUGGUAACUAGGGCUAAGUCGUAACAAGGUAACC